RNAcentral lists this ribosomal RNA (507 nucleotides) under uncultured bacterium. RNAcentral describes it as "partial 16S ribosomal RNA". It matches the Rfam family "Bacterial small subunit ribosomal RNA", at positions 28 to 507 of the family's 1533-position model. The record is from RNAcentral.
GACGAACGCUGGCGGCGUGCCUAAUACAUGCAAGUCGAACGCAUUUUCUUUCACCGUAGCUUGCUACACCGAAAGAAAGUGAGUGGCGAACGGGUGAGUAACACGUGGGUAACCUGCCCAUCAGCGGGGGAUAACACUUGGAAACAGGUGCUAAUACCGCAUAAUUCCAUUUACCGCAUGGUAGAUGGAUGAAAGGCGCUUUUGCGUCACUGAUGGAUGGACCCGCGGUGCAUUAGCUAGUUGGUGGGGUAACGGCCUACCAAGGCUGCGAUGCAUAGCCGACCUGAGAGGGUGAUCGGCCACACUGGGACUGAGACACGGCCCAGACUCCUACGGGAGGCAGCAGUAGGGAAUCUUCGGCAAUAGACGCAAGUCUGACCGAGCAACGCCGCGUGAGUGAAGAAGGUUUUCGGAUUGUAAAACUCUGUUGUUAGAGAAGAACAAGGAUGAGAGUGGAAAGUUCAUCCCUUGACGGUAUCUAACCAGAAAGCCACGGCUAACUACGUG